AAUACAGUUAUUAAAAACCAGGAUGAUCUUUCCCAUCGAACGUACUUCGAUAGAAGUGAUAAUACGAUUCGCACUUAUAAAUUUGGAAAAAAAUAUCCCAAGGGACCACCCAACACGGUACCAUAACUCUAAGUAACUCUAACCAGAAAUCACCAAGAAGUGCGUCAGAAUGACGUCACAAUCACCCCGGCAACCACAGCAGGGUUCUGGCUUCGUUCGCCAGGUGGUGCCACGCGUCUUAGUUUGGGAGUAGAGGGUCUGCGCGCGGGAAGAAAGGAUUUAUUAGUGGGUUUCGGCCACUCCGAGCCACUACUUGUGUUUGGUAUCGUCCGAAGUGGCGCGCUUUUGGGAUUUCAUGAGCAACCAAACACAGAUGAUAAUUGUUGAAGAUACAAGAUUUGAAUAUGAAAGAAAACGAUUGACUAAGGUCCUACGACGGAAGUAGGAUUACUUGUGAGUGAUCCCUUCAAUGAGGUUCCGCCCUACACUCAGAUGUCGUUCGGUGAGAGAAGUGUUCCUUCUGGUUGUUGGCUUUACUGUCUUGACCUAUUAUAUCAGUUUUCAUCUCAGUAACACCUGGUGGCAAGUGACAUCGACAGGGGCAGUACUUUCGUUACAUCAACAGGAAGUGCCCGGAGCCCUCAAACGAAGUAUACUCUCGCAAUUCGCAACUCAAGAGAAACGAGUAGUGGUGUAUUUUCCGUCCAGACCAAUUUCAGACCUCCCUCUUAGCGUGCGAUUGGAAGAGUUACUCACUCAGGUAUAUUGAGAAUUUGCAUAUAAUAGCCUUAUACUAUAGAAAUCUUUAUUUUAUUCCGUGUAUUUAGGCUUAUAAUAUCAUUAAAAAUUACCCCAAAAAUUAUAAACAUA
This is a long non-coding RNA of Centruroides sculpturatus (bark scorpion), 870 nucleotides long. RefSeq lists it as uncharacterized. The transcript is spliced from 4 exons. NCBI's taxonomy places the organism in Eukaryota, Metazoa, Arthropoda, Arachnida, Scorpiones, Buthidae. The record is from RefSeq and is a predicted model, not a curated record.